ACGAACGCUUGCGGCGUGCUUAACCCCUGCCAGUCGCACGGAAAGGCCCUGCUUUUGUGGGGUGCUCGAGUGGCGAACGGGUGAGUAACACGUGAGUAACCUGCCCUUGACUUUGGGAUAACUUCAGGAAACUGGGGCUAAUACCGGAUAGGAGCUCCUGCUGCAUGGUGGGGGUUGGAAAGUUUCGGCGGUUGGGGAUGGACUCGCGGCUUAUCAGCUUGUUGGUGGGGUAGUGGCUUACCAAGGCUUUGACGGGUAGCCGGCCUGAGAGAGUGACCGGCCACAUUGGGACUGAGAUACGGCCCAGACUCCUACGGGAGGCAGCAGUGGGGAAUAUUGCACAAUGGGCGGAAGCCUGAUGCAGCAACGCCGCGUGCGGGAUGACGGCCUUCGGGUUGUAAACCGCUUUCGCCUGUGACGAAGCGUGAGUGACGGUAAUGGGUAAAGAAGCACCGGCUAACUACGUG
This 467-nucleotide ribosomal RNA is filed under the name uncultured bacterium. RNAcentral describes it as "partial 16S ribosomal RNA". It matches the Rfam family "Bacterial small subunit ribosomal RNA", at positions 29 to 507 of the family's 1533-position model. The record is from RNAcentral.